The sequence is a small nuclear RNA, 110 nucleotides long. Its record names the gene U5. It matches the Rfam family "U5 spliceosomal RNA". From Rfam's summary of the family: U5 RNA is a component of both types of known spliceosome. The precise function of this molecule is unknown, though it is known that the 5' loop is required for splice site selection and p220 binding, and that both the 3' stem-loop and the Sm site are important for Sm protein binding and cap methylation. The record is from Ensembl.
AGCUCGAGUUUCUCUUCAUUGUCGCAUAAAUCUUUCGCCUUUUACUAAAGAUUUCCGUGGAGGGGAACUUUUGCGAGUGAUCUGUAUUAUGUCAGCUAACUUCUGGUUAC